RNAcentral lists this ribosomal RNA (497 nucleotides) under uncultured bacterium. RNAcentral describes it as "partial 16S ribosomal RNA". It matches the Rfam family "Bacterial small subunit ribosomal RNA", at positions 28 to 507 of the family's 1533-position model. The record is from RNAcentral.
GAUGAACGCUGGCGGCGCGCCUAAUACAUGCAAGUCGAGCGAACAGACGAGGAGCUUGCUCCUCUGACGUUAGCGGCGGACGGGUGAGUAACACGUGGAUAACCUACCUAUAAGACUGGGAUAACUUCGGGAAACCGGAGCUAAUACCGGAUAAUAUAUUGAACCGCAUGGUUCAAUAGUGAAAGACGGUUUUGCUGUCAAUUAUAGAUGGCUCAGCGCCGCAUUAGUUAGUUGGUAAGGUAAAGGCUUAGCAAGGCAACGAUGCGUAACCGACCUGAGAGGGUGAUCGGCCACACUGGAACUGAGACACGGUCCAGACUCCUACGGGAGGCAGCAGUAGGGAAUCUUCCGCAAGGGGCGAGAGCCUGACGGAGCAACGCCGCGUGAGGGAUGAAGGUCUUCGGAUCGUAAAACUCUGUUAUUAGGGAAGAACAAAUGUGUAAGUAACUAUGCACGUAUUGACGGUACCUAAUCAAAAAGCCACGGCUAACUACGUG